UCGAGCGGACAGAAGGGAGCUUGCUCCCGGAUGUUAGCGGCGGACGGGUGAGUAACACGUGGGUAACCCUGCCUGUAAGACUGGGAUAACUCCGGGAAACCGGAGCUAAUACCGGAUAGUUCCUUGAACCGCAUGGUUCAAGGAUGAAAGACGGUUUCGGCUGUCACUUACAGAUGGACCCGCGGCGCAUUAGCUAGUUGGUGAGGUAACGGCUCACCAAGGCGACGAUGCGUAGCCGACCUGAGUAGGGUGAUCGGCCACACUGGGACUGAGACACGGCCCAGACUCCUACGGGAGGCAGCAGUAGGGAAUCUUCCGCAAUGGACGAAAGUCUGACGGAGCAACGCCGCGUGAGUGAUGAAGGUUUUCGGAUCGUAAAGCUCUGUUGUUAGGGAAGAACAAGUGCAAGAGUAACUGCUUGCACCUUGACGGUACCUAACCAGAAAGCCACGGCUAACUACAUGCCAGCAGCCGCGGUAAUACGUAUGUGGCAAGCGUUGUCCGGAAUUAUUGGGCGUAAAGGGCUCGCAGGCGGUUUCUUAAGUCUGAUGUGAAAGCCCCCGGCUCAACCGGGGAGGGUCAUUGGAAA
This 589-nucleotide ribosomal RNA is filed under the name Bacillus sp. CH156_5T. RNAcentral describes it as "bacterial SSU rRNA". It matches the Rfam family "Bacterial small subunit ribosomal RNA", at positions 62 to 632 of the family's 1533-position model. The record is from RNAcentral. Lineage: Bacteria; Bacillati; Bacillota; Bacilli; Caryophanales; Bacillaceae.